UACGGAGGGGACUAGCGUUGUUCGGAAUUACUGGGCGUAAAGCGCACGUAGGCGGAUUUGUAAGUCAGGGGUGAAAUCCCGGGGCUCAACCUCGGAACUGCCUUUGAUACUGCAAAUCUCGAGUCCGGAAGAGGUGAGUGGAAUUCCUGGUGUAGCGGUGAAAUGCGUAGAUAUCUGCAGGAACACCCGUGGCGAAAGCGGCGCGCUGGACCACUACUGACGCUGAGGAACGAAAGCUAGGGGAGCAAACAGG
This 253-nucleotide ribosomal RNA is filed under the name uncultured bacterium. Its description in RNAcentral is "partial 16S ribosomal RNA". It matches the Rfam family "Bacterial small subunit ribosomal RNA", at positions 524 to 776 of the family's 1533-position model. The record is from RNAcentral.